Molecule: ribosomal RNA, 492 nt
Filed under: uncultured bacterium
Lineage: Bacteria
Description: partial 16S ribosomal RNA
Rfam family: Bacterial small subunit ribosomal RNA
Source: RNAcentral
AGUGAACGCUGGCGGUAGGCCUAACACAUGCAAGUCGAACGGCAGCACAGUAAGAGCUUGCUCUUACGGGUGGCGAGUGGCGGACGGGUGAGGAAUACAUCGGAAUCUACUUUUUCGUGGGGGAUAACGUAGGGAAACUUACGCUAAUACCGCAUACGACCUACGGGUGAAAGCAGGGGAGCUUCGGACCUUGCGCGAAUGAAUGAGCCGAUGUCGGAUUAGCUAGUUGGCGGGGUAAAGGCCCACCAAGGCGACGAUCCGUAGCUGGUCUGAGAGGAUGAUCAGCCACACUGGAACUGAGACACGGUCCAGACUCCUACGGGAGGCAGCAGUGGGGAAUAUUGGACAAUGGGCGCAAGCCUGAUCCAGCCAUACCGCGUGGGUGAAGAAGGCCUUCGGGUUGUAAAGCCCUUUUGUUGGGAAAGAAGAGCAGCAGGUUAAUACCCCGCUGUUCUGACGGUACCCAAAGAAUAAGCACCGGCUAACUUCGUG